UGUGAGUGGCGUCUGGUUGUGCGUGUCGGCAGGCUCCGUGCUAGAUGCAUCGAACUGUCGACCCGUGCUCCUCUUCAAUGUCUCCCCCGCGGUCGUUGUCCCUCGGGGGUGCAAUCGGGAUCCUGCGCUGCGUGCCUACCCCUACGGAAUUCGGAUGGCUCGUCGUCCCUCGUCCGUCUCGUGCCUUCAGGGGCUACGGGGCGGCCCCAAGCCGUGCCCCGUGUUUCGAGCCUGCCCCCGGAUUUGGUGCGGCCGUCUCGGUGCAUCGGUGCUCGAUCGUGCUUGCGGAUGCGGAAAUCUUUAUGGGCGUCCGGGCCACGGCCUCGUUCGUCCGACGCUACGCGUUUUGUCCCUCGACACGCACGACGGUCGCGCCCCGUCUUGGCCUCUUCGUCGCCCAGGCGACUCGUCGAGGCCCAUGCGAUGCCGACGUCGCG
Molecule: unclassified non-coding RNA, 437 nt
Filed under: Huberodendron patinoi
Lineage: Eukaryota; Viridiplantae; Streptophyta; Magnoliopsida; Malvales; Malvaceae
Description: partial external transcribed spacer
Source: RNAcentral